UUCCUAGUCAGACAAGCCGAAGUGUCUUACCGUGAAUCCAUUUCUUUGUUGUUUGUGUUGAUUGUUGAACUUUAGACUUGUGCUACUUUAUAUUAUGUUAUGUUUGUUGCCUUGUUGGUGGAGUUUAGACUAAUUUUAUUAGAUUUUUUUAUGGAUUGAAAGUAAUUGACUUAUUAUUGUUGUUUUUGGGUUUUGGCUAUAAUGUGAGUUAAUAUUGUUGUCUAGGUUGGGAAUUAAUUUAUUAUCAUUGUUCUUUUUUUUUAAUAUAAAUUACAUGUGUCUAUAAUUUUUUUUUGUUAUAAAUUAUCACAAGUUAUGAAUUGGUGCAGUGGAUAAGAUCUCUUUCUUUCAAAGGUCAAGAGUUCAAAUCCUAUUGCACACAUUUCAUAAAUUCGAAUUUUUUUAAAUAAACCGGUUAAUUCUGCCAAAUUGAGAAACAGUCUAUUAAUCGGUUUUGAUCGGUUAACCGAU
RNAcentral lists this long non-coding RNA (471 nucleotides) under Salvia miltiorrhiza (redroot sage). Its description in RNAcentral is "long non-coding RNA (SMIL_LNC003866)". The record is from RNAcentral. Lineage: Eukaryota; Viridiplantae; Streptophyta; Magnoliopsida; Lamiales; Lamiaceae.